Molecule: non-coding RNA, 186 nt
Filed under: Opitutia bacterium
Lineage: Bacteria; Pseudomonadati; Verrucomicrobiota; Opitutia
Description: 6S RNA
Rfam family: 6S / SsrS RNA
About the family: E. coli 6S RNA was the first non coding RNA to be sequenced, but its function was unknown until recently.
Source: RNAcentral
UGGCUUCUGUUUCGUGCGAGAAGUUUUUUAGUUCUUUUCCUUACUCCUAAUUAUCCGGGAGUCUAUCGAAGUUUGUUUGCAGUCAAGCCGUGAAUCGGAAGACUAAAGGCAAUGCGAGGGCACCCACUUGGACUCACAAAAGGUCGUGUAACUAUCUAAACGAUGAACGGCGAUUAUGGAAGCCAA